RNAcentral lists this ribosomal RNA (489 nucleotides) under uncultured bacterium. Its description in RNAcentral is "partial 16S ribosomal RNA". It matches the Rfam family "Bacterial small subunit ribosomal RNA", at positions 30 to 507 of the family's 1533-position model. The record is from RNAcentral.
UUGAACGCUGGCGGCAGGCCUAACACAUGCAAGUCGCACGGUAACAGGAAGAAGCUUGCUUCUUUGCUGACGAGUGGCGGACGGGUGAGUAAUGUCUGGGAAACUGCCUGAUGGAGGGGGAUAACUACUGGAAACGGUAGCUAAUACCGCAUAACGUCGCAAGACCAAAGAGGGGGACCUUCGGGCCUCUUGCCAUCGGAUGUGCCCAGAUGGGAUUAGCUAGUAGGUGGGGUAACGGCUCACCUAGGCGACGAUCCCUAGCUGGUCUGAGAGGAUGACCAGCCACACUGGAACUGAGACACGGUCCAGACUCCUACGGGAGGCAGCAGUGGGGAAUAUUGCACAAUGGGCGCAAGCCUGAUGCAGCCAUGCCGCGUGUAUGAAGAAGGCCUUCGGGUUGUAAAGUACUUUCGGCGGGGAGGAAGGGAGUAAAGUUAAUACCUUUGCUCAUUGACGUUACCCGCAGAAGAAGCACCGGCUAACUCCGUG